Non-coding RNA from Pelobates cultripes (western spadefoot toad), 394 nucleotides. NCBI's taxonomy places the organism in Eukaryota, Metazoa, Chordata, Amphibia, Anura, Pelobatidae. The record is from the annotation of a GenBank genome assembly.
CCGUGCUUUAUCCAGUCAUAUAUAAUGCUAUUAAUACAUUUUAAUUAAUUUAAUUAAAUGAAACCAGUAUAAUUACCAGUUAAGUAGAUAUUUCAUCCGAUUGGUAGUCUCAGGGACUUAUUUGGAUGUCUCUCUCUGCAUGGAGGUGUUGGUUAGAAAGUCAGUAAAUUCUAGUGUUAGAGUUUUAGGAGUAGAGUGUUAGUCUCAGAUGUUGUCCGAGUUGGAAUCCCCAAACUUCCAAUUCCUCUCUCCUCUCCUUUGCAUCUCUUGGAUCUGCCUCGCAUCUCUCUUGUAUCCCUCUAUCUUCCCUUUGUCUUAACUUUUAAAGGGCCAGACUCUCUGUACGUCAUCAGUUGAUAACCCAAUAGAAGCACUAGAGGUGUGGUUAUCUUCC